Molecule: ribosomal RNA, 200 nt
Filed under: uncultured bacterium
Lineage: Bacteria
Description: partial 16S ribosomal RNA
Rfam family: Bacterial small subunit ribosomal RNA
Source: RNAcentral
AGAGUUUGAUCCUGGCUCAGCCUGAACGCUGGCGGCGUGGCUAAGACAUGCAAGUCGAACGGGUGUAGCAAUACACCAGUGGCGAACGGGUGAGUAAUGUAUCGCUAACGUGCCCCGGACAUUGGGAUAGCUGCUCGAAAGGGCAGGUAAUACCAGAUGAUAUGACCUGAUCGCAUGAUCGGGUCCUCAAAGGUCCGCUG